AGCCAGACUCCUACGGGAGGCAGCAGUGAGGAAUAUUGGUCAAUGGGCGGGAGCCUGAACCAGCCAAGUCGCGUGAGGGAUGACGGUCCUAUGGAUUGUAAACCUCUUUUGUCAGGGAGCAAAGGGCGCCACGUGUGGCGUUUUGCGAGUACCUGAAGAAAAAGCAUCGGCUAACUCCGUGCCAGCAGCCGCGGUAAUACGGAGGAUGCGAGCGUUAUCCGGAUUUAUUGGGUUUAAAGGGUGCGCAGGCGGAAUGUCAAGUCAGCGGUAAAAUUUCGGGGCUCAACCCCGUCGUGCCGUUGAAACUGGCGUUCUUGAGUGAGCGAGAAGUAUGCGGAAUGCGUGGUGUAGCGGUGAAAUGCAUAGAUAUCACGCAGAACUCCGAUUGCGAAGGCAGCAUACCGGCGCUCAACUGACGCUCAUGCACGAAAGCGUGGGUAUCGAACAGGAUUAGAUACCUC
This 461-nucleotide ribosomal RNA is filed under the name uncultured bacterium. RNAcentral's name for it is "bacterial SSU rRNA". It matches the Rfam family "Bacterial small subunit ribosomal RNA", at positions 329 to 788 of the family's 1533-position model. The record is from RNAcentral.